RNAcentral lists this ribosomal RNA (232 nucleotides) under uncultured bacterium. RNAcentral's name for it is "partial 16S ribosomal RNA". It matches the Rfam family "Bacterial small subunit ribosomal RNA", at positions 104 to 334 of the family's 1533-position model. The record is from RNAcentral.
CGGGGUGAGUAACGCGUGGGUAACCUACCCUGUACACACAGAUAACAUACCGAAAGGUAUGCUAAUACGGGAUAAUAUAUUUGAGAGGCAUCUCUUGAAUAUCAAAGGUGAGCCAGUACAGGAUGGACCCGCGUCUGAUUAGCUAGUUGGUAAGGUAACGGCUUACCAAGGCGACGAUCAGUAGCCGACCUGAGAGGGUGAUCGGCCACAUUGGAGCUGAGACACGGUCCAA